CCUCCGCCUUGUCUAUGAGCUCAAGUGGGACAGUUCGGCACUUCUGGAACGCUAGCACGGUGCUCACGCUUUAGCACUGUCGUGAAUAUAAAUAUAUGAUUGAUCUGAUCGAGCCGCAUGACAAAGGGGGGACAUCAGAUAUAAUGGUUAAAUAUAGAAGUGUGCGAAGAUUGAACAUUUGGAAUAUCGAAUCGAAUAUCGUCAUACUUGAUUCGGUCUUCGGGAAUAGCCCAUAUGCGUUAAUACGAAUAUUUCAAAAUAUCAUCUAUGCCCAAAUAAACACGAAAUUAGCGUAAAAAUACAAUAAUUUCUACGGUCAUAAGCUAUACGUCGUUUGCAGAGCCAGAAUUCGAUAGUCCGCACACACUGAAGAGUUUUAAAAUUUCUACUUGAUGCUCAGUUUAUGGUUUUCAUGUUAAUUUGUUUUAAUGUUAGAGUACCAACGAUAUUUUGUGUUAACAACGAAAACGGUUCAAUUCAAAUUCGAUCCGCUUCUUGCACGCAUUAGCGCUGCCCUAAAAUGUUCAGGCAUAUGCUUCAGUUGAAAUUUCCCGCUCCUUUUUUUUCUCACCCGAAAGAGCUGAUAUAAGCAACACGUGCGUUCCUCCGAAAAAAAAAAAAAAAGUGGUGAGAUCUCUCUCCCAGAAAGAAUGACAAGGCCUGAAAGGAGGAACGAAGAGGGAGGCGGGGCGUGCAGCGGGGCUACCAUAGCGGGGCGCCGGACCCCGCACCUCUCGCGUUUUCUUUUUUUUCUUUGCCACAGCGCUGGGGAGGGGAGCAAGCUCCAUGCGUCAGUUCCCGCCAAAUUGUAGCUCUUUCGAGCGAGGACGUGCUGACUGAAACACUGCACAGAGACGGGCAAGCACUCAGAGGCAUUUCGUUUGCCUUGAUCCUGGAGGCGGCCUUCUCCCAUUGCCGAGGAUUUGAAGCGAACUCCUGGCAGAUCAGAAAUGUUCAGGCGAACGGCGGUUAUAUUUGUCUGUGGACCCAAGACUUCGUUGACGGGCAAAUAUGUCAGAUUUUCUUGUUUUUUAUUUGUGGCAUCUUAUUGUAAAGCCGUGACAUAUUUUGCCGUUUUCUCUAGGGAACCCUGCAACAAGGACUGUAGUGUGAAUAGCGUGCUGCGCUGCUCUCGCCAACUGAAAAGAACUCUGGUAAGAUGCAUGCUUGGUUAUGAAAGUCUCACGCAAUCGCUUUUCACAUUGAAUUUGGUCGCAGGUGUGCUGUAAAUGCCGACUGCACAAUAUGUGACUGGCCCGCGGCUGCUUUGAAGUUUGUGCGCUGUGGAGCUUGAAGCACUUCUCGGAAUUUCAGCACACUCGCAUUUAUUUUUUUCCCGACAGAAGAAAAAUGCAAGUCUAACAUCUCGACGGUAAAACGUCGCAUCUGCGCACGUGUUCAGGGCCAAGAGCACGAGAAGUGGCCGAAAGAAGGGAGCCGAUCCAACAGGAAUGCCGUCCGUCUUUAUAUUUAUAUAUGUCAGCGUUAUCAUGCCGUGAUCACAUGGACUGUACGGUUGCGUUGCACAAGGGCUGAUGCAAACGCUCCGUGCGAACAAUGUUGCAUGGAAAAUUAGUGCAUCUAUACAAUUGCAAAAUAAAGA
Molecule: long non-coding RNA, 1603 nt
Organism: Rhipicephalus sanguineus (brown dog tick)
Lineage: Eukaryota; Metazoa; Arthropoda; Arachnida; Ixodida; Ixodidae
Exons: 4
Source: RefSeq, a predicted model, not a curated record